Molecule: ribosomal RNA, 465 nt
Filed under: uncultured bacterium
Lineage: Bacteria
Description: partial 16S ribosomal RNA
Rfam family: Bacterial small subunit ribosomal RNA
Source: RNAcentral
CCUACGGGAGGCAGCAGUAGGGAAUCUUCCACAAUGGGCGAAAGCCUGAUGGAGCAACGCCGCGUGGGUGAAGAAGGUCUUCGGAUCGUAAAACCCUGUUGUUAGAGAAGAAAGUGCGUGAGAGUAACUGUUCACGUUUCGACGGUAUCUAACCAGAAAGCCACGGCUAACUACGUGCCAGCAGCCGCGGUAAUACGUAGGUGGCAAGCGUUAGCCGGAUUUAUUGGGCGUAAAGGGAACGCAAGCGGUCUUUUAAGUCUGAUGUGAAAGCCUUCGGCUUAACCGGAGUAGUGCAUUGGAAACUGGGAGACUUGAGUGCAGAAGAGGAGAGUGGAACUCCAUGUGUAGCGGUGAAAUGCGUAGAUAUAUGGAAGAACACCAGUGGCGAAAGCGGCUUUCUGGUCUGUAACUGACGCUGAGGUUCGAAAGCGUGGGUAGCAAACAGGAUUAGAUACCCCUGUAGUC